UGAGCUUCUCGGCCUUUUGGCUAAGAUCAAGUGUAGUAAAUGUUUUACAGUUUGAGCUCUUACAUUUAGAUAACUUGAUGCAUUUUGAGUUAAUUUUGGCAUAUGGUGUGAGGUAGGGAUCCAACCUCAUUCUUCUGCAAGUGGAGACGUAGUUUUCCCAGAAGUGUUUGUUCAGAAGGCUAUCC
This is a small nuclear RNA of Hyaena hyaena (striped hyena), 185 nucleotides long. RefSeq annotates it as U2 spliceosomal RNA. Lineage: Eukaryota; Metazoa; Chordata; Mammalia; Carnivora; Hyaenidae. The transcript has a single exon. The record is from RefSeq and is a predicted model, not a curated record.